Molecule: transfer RNA, 74 nt
Rfam family: tRNA
About the family: Transfer RNA (tRNA) molecules are approximately 80 nucleotides in length. Their secondary structure includes four short double-helical elements and three loops (D, anti-codon, and T loops).
GGGGCCGUAGCUCAGCCUGGUAGAGUAUCUGCCUCUUAAGCAGACUGUCGAGGGUUCAAAUCCCUCCGGCCUCG